RNAcentral lists this ribosomal RNA (171 nucleotides) under uncultured marine alpha proteobacterium MBE16. RNAcentral's name for it is "partial 16S ribosomal RNA". Lineage: Bacteria; Pseudomonadati; Pseudomonadota; Alphaproteobacteria. The record is from RNAcentral.
AUUACCGCGGCUGCUGGCACGGAGUUAGCCGGGGUUUCUUUACCUGCUACUGUCAUUAUCAUCACAGGCGAAAGAGCUUUACGACCCUAAGGCCUUCAUCACUCACGCGGCAUGGCUAGAUCAGGCUUGCGCCCAUUGUCUAAGAUUCCCCACUGCUGCCUCCCGUAGGCC